GUCCAGGUGGCGGAAUUGGUAGACGCGCUACUUUGAGGGGGUAGUGGCCGGUAGGCUGUGUGAGUUCGAGUCUCAUCUUGGACACCA
RNAcentral lists this transfer RNA (87 nucleotides) under Muribaculaceae bacterium. RNAcentral describes it as "tRNA-Leu". It matches the Rfam family "tRNA". Rfam says of the family: Transfer RNA (tRNA) molecules are approximately 80 nucleotides in length. Their secondary structure includes four short double-helical elements and three loops (D, anti-codon, and T loops). Lineage: Bacteria; Pseudomonadati; Bacteroidota; Bacteroidia; Bacteroidales; Muribaculaceae. The record is from RNAcentral.